GCUGAUAGUUGUCACCCGCUUCCCUUGAAAAACAGUUUGCCCUACAGCCAAAUCUGUCAAUAUCAAAAGAAUAUGCAAAAAAAACAAUCAGACUUGACAGAAAUAUGGCUGAGACUCAAAGAAAAUUCAAGGAGAGGGGGUGGGGGGUACAAAAAGGGUCAGAUUAAUACAGCCGUUGAGAAAAUUCAAAACAAACCGAGACAUGAUCUUUUUCAAGGUCAGUCUCGCAAAAUGAGCAUUCUUGCGUUCUAACUACCCGCUAUUCAAAGUGCUCUGAACAUAUUAAGGGAAUCGUUCACAAACAUCGGCACAUUCUAAGAUCCGAUGACAGUAUCGGUAAUGUGUUUUCAGCCCUUCCCUUGGUUGUAUUCUCGCGGUGCAGAAAACUCAGAGAUCAAUUGGUCAACUCUGAUUUUACCACCCAAGAUAUUCCUGCACAACGCCUAUUUGCGCCUCUACUGGAUGGAAACUACAAGUGUAAUGGCUGUGCUCAAUGCAAUGGCACUUAUAAAUGUAGAUCCUUCAAACACCCCCAAACAGGGAAAUCGAUCCCAAUCAAAGGUGUUAUUACGUGUUCCACUAAGGCAGUUAUUUAUCUUAGAACUUGUCCUUGUGGUAAAAUGAUGUGGCUAAAACAAAGCGCGAAUUAAAAGUACGAAUCUCCGAGAAUCGUAGCACCAUCAGGUGCAAAAACUCGAUUUAUCCAGUUGCGGCCCACUUUUUGGAAGCAAAUCACUCGAUUUCAUCUCUACGUUAUAUUGGCAUCGAACAUGUCACCCUCCCGAGGAGAGGGAGUGACCUCGACAAUUUAUUGUUAAAACGAGAGGCUGCCUGGAUCUUUAAUUUAAAGACCUUUGCUCCCUUUUGGUCUCACCGUAGACGUUGAUCUGAAGCCAUUCUUGUGAUUUUGCUACUCAUUGUAAACGUUUUUAGGCCUAUGUAGCCAAAUUGUAUCUAUGAUCGUAUGCUAUCCAUUCAUGUUUUUGGAAUGUUAUUUUAUAUCUGAGAAUUAACCAAUGAUAUCGGGCCACACCCGGCCAUGGUUACAGUCACCUGUGUGUGUCUAUUGACACUAUAUAAACUAGCCACCCUGCAUUGUUUGUUAUUAUACCCUGAUGAAGACAGCUUGUAUGUCGAAACGUUGGUUAUUAAAUUAUUGCGUCUCUCUGUGCGGCUCUAAUUUUUCAAGUGUUCUCCUCCGCUAGCCAGCACCUCGCCUAAAUUGGUGUUCUACUCCGCUAGCCAGCACCUCUCCUAAACAGGUGUUCUACUCUGCUAGCCAGCACCUCUCCUAAACAGGUGUUCUACUCUGCUAGCCAGCACCUCUCCUAAACAGGUGUUCUACUCUGCCAGCACCUCUCCUA
This 1364-nucleotide long non-coding RNA is filed under the name Salmo salar (Atlantic salmon). RNAcentral's name for it is "lncRNA (ENSSSAG00000103328.1, ENSSSAG00000114325.1)". Lineage: Eukaryota; Metazoa; Chordata; Actinopteri; Salmoniformes; Salmonidae. The record is from RNAcentral.